CUUCCUCCCCUUCCCUUCCCCACCCACCUCGCCAUCUCCGCCUUCCUUCCUUCCUCACCCACCACCAUGGCCGCGCACUCCGUCGCCGCCGCGCACGCCACCAUGGCCGCGCCAGCCGGGGCCGCCUCCUCCGCCUGCUCCGCCCCGGCAGAGCGCCUCGGGUUCCGCCUCAGCUCGCUCGCCGGCCGCGGCCUCCGCCUCCCUUCCCGCCCUUCCGCCGCCUCGUCUUCCUCCUCC
This 237-nucleotide long non-coding RNA is filed under the name Brachypodium distachyon (stiff brome). RNAcentral's name for it is "long non-coding RNA (BDIS_LNC001002)". The record is from RNAcentral. Lineage: Eukaryota; Viridiplantae; Streptophyta; Magnoliopsida; Poales; Poaceae.